GAUUAACGCUGGCGGCGUGCAUAACACAUGCAAGUCGAACGAUGAAACUCAUUAGAUUUCUUCGGAAUGAAAAUGAGUGGAUUAGUGGCGAACGGGUGAGUAACGCGUGAGUAACCUGCCUUACACAAGGGGAUAGCCUCUGGAAACGGAGAAUAAUACCCUAUGAAACCAGACAAUCGCAUGAUAAUCUGGUCAAAAUGUUUAGUGGUGUAAGAUGGACUUGCGUCUGAUUAGCUAGUUGGUGAGAUAAAAGCUCACCAAGGCAACGAUCAGUAGCCGGCUUGAGAGAGUGUACGGCCACAUUGGGACUGAGACACGGCCCAGACUCCUACGGGAGGCAGCAGUGGGGAAUUUUGCACAAUGGGGGAAACCCUGAUGCAGCGACGCCGCGUGAUUUAGAAGGCCUUCGGGUUGUAAAAAUCUUUUGUAUAGGAAGAAAAUGACAGUACUAUACGAAUAAGGUCCGGCUAAUUACGUG
RNAcentral lists this ribosomal RNA (478 nucleotides) under uncultured bacterium. RNAcentral describes it as "partial 16S ribosomal RNA". It matches the Rfam family "Bacterial small subunit ribosomal RNA", at positions 28 to 507 of the family's 1533-position model. The record is from RNAcentral.